RNAcentral lists this transfer RNA (72 nucleotides) under Neogymnocrinus richeri. RNAcentral's name for it is "tRNA-Leu". It matches the Rfam family "tRNA". From Rfam's summary of the family: Transfer RNA (tRNA) molecules are approximately 80 nucleotides in length. The record is from RNAcentral. Lineage: Eukaryota; Metazoa; Echinodermata; Crinoidea; Cyrtocrinida; Sclerocrinidae.
GCUAAAUUAGCAAAAAGGUCAAUGCAGAAGACCUAAGCCCUUCAACCAAAGGUUCAAAUCCUUUACUUAGCU